UUCUCUGGGCAACCUGUUCUAGUGUCUCACCACCUUCACAGUAAAGAAUUUAUUCCUGAUGUCUAACCUAAAUCUCCCCUCUUUCAACUUAAAGCCAUUGCCCCUUGUCCUAUCACUACAUGCUCUUGUAAAAAGUCCCUCCCCAUAUUUCUUGUAGCCCCCCUUUAGAUUCUGGAAGAUUUAUAGGGUCUUCCCUGAGCCUUCUCUUCUCCAGGCUGAACAAGUUCAACUCUCUUAACCUGUCUUCAUAGGAAAAGUGCUUCAGCACUCUGAUCAUCUUUUUGGACCUCCUCUGGACUCACUUGAGCAGAUCUUCUUAUCUACCAUUCCAAGUAAAAGAUGUUCAAUUGGACUGUUCCUCCUUCAGAAUUUGUGCCAAAAAGCCCUCUCCACUAUGUUACUUAGAGCUUCCUGACUCAACCUAUUCCCAGA
Molecule: long non-coding RNA, 432 nt
Organism: Pezoporus occidentalis (night parrot)
Lineage: Eukaryota; Metazoa; Chordata; Aves; Psittaciformes; Psittacidae
Exons: 3
Source: RefSeq, a predicted model, not a curated record